RNAcentral lists this unclassified non-coding RNA (345 nucleotides) under soil metagenome. Its description in RNAcentral is "partial contains 5.8S ribosomal RNA, internal transcribed spacer 2, and large subunit ribosomal RNA". The stretch from base 1 to 120 matches the Rfam family "5.8S ribosomal RNA", at positions 35 to 154 of the family's 154-position model. The record is from RNAcentral.
GAUGAAGAACGCAGCAAAAUGCGAUAAGUAAUGUGAAUUGCAGAAUUCAGUGAAUCAUCGAAUCUUUGAACGCACAUUGCGCCCGCUGGUAUUCCGGCGGGCAUGCCUGUUCGAGCGUCAUUUCAACCCUCAAGCCCCCGGGUUUGGUGUUGGGGAUCGGCUCUGCCUUCUGGCGGUGCCGCCCCCGAAAUACAUUGGCGGUCUCGCUGCAGCCUCCAUUGCGUAGUAGCUAACACCUCGCAACUGGAACGCGGCGCGGCCAUGCCGUAAAACCCCAACUUCUGAAUGUUGACCUCGGAUCAGGUAGGAAUACCCGCUGAACUUAAGCAUAUCAAUAGCGGAGGA